Long non-coding RNA from Brassica napus (rape), 1373 nucleotides. RefSeq lists it as uncharacterized. The transcript has 2 exons. The record is from RefSeq and is a predicted model, not a curated record. NCBI's taxonomy places the organism in Eukaryota, Viridiplantae, Streptophyta, Magnoliopsida, Brassicales, Brassicaceae.
AUUCUUGUGGAUUCGCCACAUAUCCUAUGGAUACCUAGCAUGGAACUACUGCCACAGAUACUUUCCUUAGACUCUCUAUAUGAUCCCUUAUUCAUACUUAUACUUACAUCUUUCACUUAUCAUUCACGUCACUUCUCAACAUCUUAUCAACGGUUUCUUGACCACCCUAACAUGCCUACGUUCUUAUCACUUCAACACGUACUAUUGUCUAAACAAGAUCAAUCACAUAUCACAUCACACAUACACACAAGAUCUAGAUAUGAUUAACAAAGGACUAAGUCCCAUUGGUUACUCAACAUGAGGCAAGUUCACAGCCAAGUCCUCACCUUAGCUUUUUGCAGAAGUAGAUCUGGAUCUAGAUUUGGGAAUCAGUCACUUCUCGAGAUCUGGUUUAAGUGUUGGAUUCACACAAGAGAGAGAUGGGUUUAGGAUCUGUCAUUUCCAAUGACUUAGAGCUAGAGAUCAUAGUCUUACCUUAGGGUUCAGAUCUCAGUUGCUUGCACGAAGCGGAAUCAAGGAGGCGGCGGCUAGGGGUUCGGUUGCGGAGGCUAGGGCUUCGCGGGCGGCUGGCGGCUGGCUUCGCCGGAGGCGGAGUGGCGGCGGCUUGAGGCGGCGGCGGCGGGGUUCUGCUCGGGCAGGGCUUCGCUUGCUGUCUCUCUUGUGGCUGAACCCUAGGGGGACUUCUCCUUUUAUAAGCAAUGGGAGGGGUUAUGUCUAGGAUUUCCUCUUCUUGGGCCUCCUGCACUUGAGUUUCUUUUUGGGCCUGGCCCGGGAUGUUACAAUUUCCCUUCGCCAUAACCUAAUAAGCAGUGGUUUGUAAGUUUGAUUUCAAAGCUGCAAAGCUCGAAUCAAUAGAGCUUUGUAGAAGUGUCAAGGAUAGAUUAUAAAGAUUCUUCUUUCUUCAACUCUUUUGUCUUUAUAUGUUGUGUGUUCUUCCUGAAUCGGGCAGAUAUGCACUUGUUCUUCUUCUUGUCUUCGCCACCGGCAAAUAGCGUAAAUCGCGAGACAGACAUUCUCCCGCGAAGAAAGAGAGCCAAGAAGACCACUAAAGCACUAAGUGGUAUGAAGAUUUGAGAUUGUUCUAAUGGCGUCUAGGGAAGGAAAGAGGCGUACUCAUCAACAUCAUGAGAAUCUUGUGCCUGUUGCUGCUCUGUUAAGCAGAGAGACGAGAGCUGCUAAGAUGGAGAAACCGGUUGUUAGAUACGGGAAGCUGUUCAAUCUAGGAAAGGCGAAGAUUAUCUUUUGAUCAAGACUGAUACUCCAUAUCGAGUUUGUUUAAGAUGGAUAUGAGUCCUUCUUUGUAUCAGACUGAGUGGUGAGUAAACUCGAGUUCUUAUCACUAAUUUAUCAAUUUAAAGUUUUGUUCUUAAUUA